Molecule: ribosomal RNA, 253 nt
Filed under: uncultured bacterium
Lineage: Bacteria
Description: partial 16S ribosomal RNA
Rfam family: Bacterial small subunit ribosomal RNA
Source: RNAcentral
UACGUAGGGUGCAAGCGUUAAUCGGAAUUACUGGGCGUAAAGCGUGUGCAGGCGGUUAUAUAAGACAGAUGUGAAAUCCCCGGGCUCAACCUGGGAACUGCAUUUGUGACUGUAUAGCUAGAGUACGGCAGAGGGGGAUGGAAUUCCGCGUGUAGCAGUGAAAUGCGUAGAUAUGCGGAGGAACACCGAUGGCGAAGGCAAUCCCCUGGGCCUGUACUGACGCUCAUGCACGAAAGCGUGGGGAGCAAACAGG